RNAcentral lists this ribosomal RNA (856 nucleotides) under uncultured archaeon. RNAcentral's name for it is "bacterial SSU rRNA". It matches the Rfam family "Archaeal small subunit ribosomal RNA", at positions 25 to 861 of the family's 1478-position model. The record is from RNAcentral.
AGCUGCUUCUGGGUAGCUAAGCCUGCGAGUCAAGCGCUUCUUAGCUAUGUUAGAAGUGCGGCAGACCGCUCAGUAACACGUAGCUAACCUACCUUUAGGACUUGGAUAACCCCGGGAAACUGGGGUUAAUACUAGAUAGGUGGAAGUUCCUGGAAUGGUUCUCCGCCUAAAUCGUAUUAGAAACAUGCUUCUAAUUCGGCCUAAAGAUGGGGCUACGUCCGAUCAGGUAGUUGGUGGGGUAAUGGCCCACCAAGCCUAUAACCGGUACGGGCCCUGAGAGGGGGAGCCCGGAGAUGGGAACUGAGACAAGGUCCCAGGCCCUAUGGGGCGCAGCAGGCGCGAAAACUCCACAAUACACGAAAGUGUGAUGGGGUUACCCCGAGUGCCGUCCGAUGAGGAUGGCUUUUCUUUUGUAUAAUAAGCAGAGGGAAUAAAGGGGGGGCAAGUCUGGUGUCAGCCGCCGCGGUAAUACCAGCCCCCUAAGUGGUAUGGACGAUUAUUUGGCCUAAAGCGUCCGUAGCUGGUUUAAUAAGUCUUCCGUUAAAUCUAACGAUUCAAUCGUUAGGCCUCAGGAGAUACUAUUAGACUAGAGGACGGGAGAGGUCGACGGUAGUCCUGAUGUAGGAGUGAAAUCCUAUAAUCUCAGGAGGACCACCAGUGGCGAAGGCGGUCGACCAGAACGUGCCUGACGGUGAGGGACGAAAGCUGGGGGAGCGAACCGGAUUAGAUACCCGGGUAGUCCCAGCUGUAAACGAUGCGAGCUAGGUGUUGGAGUGACCACGUGUUACUCCAGUGCCGCAGAGAAGUUAUUAAGCUCGCCGCCUGGGAAGUACGGCCGCAAGGCUGAAACUUAAAG